CCGGUCGUAGCUCAGUGGUAGAGCGUUCCGCUCAUAACGGAGGGGUCGCGGGUUCAAUCCCCGCCGGUCGUA
RNAcentral lists this transfer RNA (72 nucleotides) under Bigelowiella natans. Its description in RNAcentral is "tRNA-Met". It matches the Rfam family "tRNA". From Rfam's summary of the family: Transfer RNA (tRNA) molecules are approximately 80 nucleotides in length. Their secondary structure includes four short double-helical elements and three loops (D, anti-codon, and T loops). Lineage: Eukaryota; Cercozoa; Chlorarachniophyceae. The record is from RNAcentral.